This 2362-nucleotide long non-coding RNA is filed under the name Ursus maritimus (polar bear). RNAcentral's name for it is "lncRNA (ENSUMAG00000009679.1)". Lineage: Eukaryota; Metazoa; Chordata; Mammalia; Carnivora; Ursidae. The record is from RNAcentral.
AUAUUAAUUGUGUGUUUUUAUUGUUUAAAAGAAAAACUAAAUGGUUAAAAAAAAACUGGAAACAAUUGUGGCAGUUAUAAGCUUUAGGGCAGGUGUUACCAAUUGUGGACGUUCGCACUUUUCUUAUAUAAUUCCAUAGAGAAGAGAAGCAAAUGCUUACAACACCGAGGCGGUAGUAAACCAGGAGCGCGAGGACACACGGUGGCCCAGCACAGAGCCCAUCCAACACUUUGUGCGCGCGAAAGGAGGCGAGGACAAUGCCGAUUGAGGAAGAUGCCGGUUAGCAUCUUGUUCUCCAAGGAAAAGGCGGAGAGGAGCAGCGAAUGGAGCGGUCAACGCAGAGGGCUGAGCCAGAUCGUGGAAUGGCAGUGGAAAAAUUAGCACUUUUUCCCCUUGCAGUGGGUUAGCCAUCAUUCGUCUCCCACUCUGUUUUGUGACAGUCAUCUGCGUAGAGAAUUUUUCUGCUGGCGACACAAAAAUAACUUUUGGACCGGCUCGGAGUGGAUUUUCGUGAAUUUUACAGCAGGGAAUCAGAAUCACUGUUUUUUGUUUGGUUUUUACUACUGAAUAACCCAGUGCAAUUAAAACCCUUUGGGGGUGAAAGCAGCUCCAAGACGAGGGAGGAGAGCGUCCGCACAGCCCAGGACCCUGGUUCACCGGGAACGGUGGCUGCUGCCGGGCAAUCCUGGGAGAACGCUUAGAAGGCGGAGAGCGGGGGCACCCAGCCUGCGCAGCGAGUGUGCGCGCGCUCUGGUGCGAGUCUCCGGAGCUGUGCACCCAGCCGCCGCAGCCAGUCAUCUCGUUUCUGCCUUACACUUCCCUACAUUUUCUGAAGGUUUUGCAAAUAGCUUUGCAAACAGUAUGUGUUGGUUUUCAUAUUUUCUUUUAAAAAAUAAUAAUAAAGGAAAGCCCUCGUCCUUUUACCAGGCGCCCCACCUGAAGGGACCACUCGGGCUUCAUUUUGCCUGUCGCGGCUCAAGCAAGACCCAGUCGGCCCCGCGUCCCCUCCAAACCCUGUUCGCUCUUCUCUGCAGGAGCCCUCCGGGUCCUCCCGGACACUGCGCCCAGACCCUGGGCCUCCAGACUUGGGCCUUACUUGGGCUCCCUUGGGCAGGGGCUCCCCACGCCCCCGAGCGGAGGGGUGCCCCUGCCUGCUGUCCGAGGCGCGCUAGCAGUGAGGCGCUCCUUCGGCUUUCAGAUCACAGAGAGGGGCCAAGGGAUACGGAGCGUUUUCGCUGGGCGAGCUGCCUACGGAGGAGGUUACCGGCGGAUGCGGAGACUGCUGAGCAGGGAUUAAGCACCAGCACUUUCAGAAGUGGCAGUGAUCUCAGAGGCCUCCACCCGUGCAAUUCUGCUGCGUGAGGUUUCCACCCUUUUCAACAAGUGUUCCGGCUGGAGAUACCGGAUAUUGACACAACACCCUUGAUUGAAUACACCGGGAAUCUUCCCUUCCCUCCCCAUUAUAAAAAUCCAUUAAAGAAGAAAAAAAAAAAAAAAAAAACCAAAACCAAACAAACCCAGCACAUCUGGGGAAAAAAUAGAAAAACAUUCACCGGAAACCCCACCACUCAGAGAUAACUAAAAAUAUUUGAUGGUUUAACCUCCAGUUUCUUUUUCUGUGAAUUUCCCCUCCCCUCCAAGUAUGCCUACCUGCUGUAGAUACAGAUUUGAAACAUGCUUUUUAAACUUAGAUUUUAUGUCAUUAAAUCUUCCCAAACCUCACUGAAAUGGCUGGGUCUAAAUUCUUGCAGAUGAAAGUAGCUUGAAUUCCGUCCCUGGGGCCUGGACUUUUAAUGCGAGAUCUGAAGACGUGCUAGAGUAGAGGACUCUAGGAUUACUGGGCCGUACUAGUAGAUUUAUUUCCUCCUGCUUACUUUCUUAAUGUAAAAAUUGUCGGGUAAUUCUUAUAACUGUAUAUAGCUGUGUGUUAUAGCUGUGUGUUUUCAAGCCAAAGUGUGUAUCUUUCAGGCCUCAUGGGCAUUCAGAGAUUGUCUCAGCUGAGCAUUUCCUGUUUUAAUAACAGACCUUCACUCAAGUGAGGACCAUCUCCGUCCCACCAUGAGAUCCUCUGUGUAGACUAGGAAAUGUGUCUGCAAAACCACAGGGAAUUGUGAAUUGACCACAGACCCCGCCAUUAGCAGGGCUCUUACCGCCUACACAUCUCCCCAAGUUAGAGUAUCAAGUUAGAAAAGAAUGCCAACCAGUCUGGAAUCUGGGAUCUUCAAAACAAAAACAACCCUCCCCCUGGCCAAAAUUUGAAAUAUAGAUUUCAGAUAGAAUUGCAAAGAAAUGCACAGGGAGGUCUCAGGCCCCCUUCACCUGCCCUCCCCAAUGAUGACAUCUUGCGUUACUAUAGUACAGU